GGAAGGUUCACACAGCCUCUGUAGUUCUGUCUCUGUUUUCUGCAUUUGUCCUAGUCCCCUCUCCCCCGCUGACCGACCUGUACCAGGCCGGUGAGGAGGUGUGGUACCAGAACUACGAACUGCCUCAUUAACCCCGGCACAUCCGGACCUGUCUGUCUGUAGUCAGCGACUGACACUCUAUAACCGAAUAGGGUCGGGAGCGGCAGCACUGACUGAAUUCUCGGUGCAUGGUCGGCACAUUUGUCAUCCGGGACAGCACUGAACACCGUCCGGUAUCAACAUCAGAGCAGAGGAUCCGCCCUGUGGACAGGCAGCAGCUUGUACACAGAAAAUCGCGCUGUGAGUCUCACAGAACAGCGACACCGGGCCCUCCCCCAUAGAUAAUAAAUAUCUGUCGCUGCACUGGCUGGAAUGAAGUUAGCAGAAAACCACUCGAAAAUAUAUCGACACGGAGACUGAACAUUCUUGGUGAAUUGAGGAACUUUUGAUAAAUGUCAAAAGUUGAAUAAUUCCCCAAGAACAGUCCAACAGCGUUUUGACGUCAUUGCAAACUGCCACAUACACUUUCUUCACAACUGCUGAAAUCAAAUAGAACCGAUUCGACAAAUCACUUUCAAUGGAGUGUGAACAAACUCACUUUAAUAUUGUAUGUAACCAUUUCUGCUGAAGUGUAGAAUGAUAGAGCCUUUAAUGUGAAAUAAAGAAAAUGAACUAGGGUCUCGAACCUGUAACGUUACCAGUUAAAUUUGCUGCCCUGUUUUCCGUGAGUUUACAAAAUUUUACAAAUUUUACAAAAAGAGGAAGGGCAGGGUGAGUGUGUGGAAGUUGGAAGCUGGAGAGGGGGAAACUGAACUUAUGUGGGGGAAGAAUAAAUCAAGGAAGGUAGUGCACCCGUGGCUGACAAGAGAAAUUAUGGAUAGUAUCAAUUCCAAAGAAGAAGCAUACAAAUUAGCCAGAGAAAGUGGCUCACCUGAGGACUGGGAGAAAUUCAGAGUCCAGCAGAGGAGGACAAAGGGCUU
Long non-coding RNA from Mobula hypostoma (lesser devil ray), 1019 nucleotides. RefSeq lists it as uncharacterized. The transcript is spliced from 3 exons. The record is from RefSeq and is a predicted model, not a curated record. NCBI's taxonomy places the organism in Eukaryota, Metazoa, Chordata, Chondrichthyes, Myliobatiformes, Myliobatidae.